Molecule: non-coding RNA, 1691 nt
Organism: Durio zibethinus
Lineage: Eukaryota; Viridiplantae; Streptophyta; Magnoliopsida; Malvales; Malvaceae
Source: RefSeq, a predicted model, not a curated record
UUUUUUUUUUGCAUGUCUUCUUUAGCUUUUUUCUGAUUCCUCUUGAUCUUAUCUUAUAAUGGGAGAUAUCCCCAUCUUAUAGUUCGGCUUUAAUUUUAUGAAUUCACUGUGUACAUUUUUUUAAUUGUUCAAGAAAAACAGCCGUUGAGUUCUUUGUUAAAGAAAAAAGAAAGCCAUGGCGUUGAACGGUGGGCCGAGAUCGGCUUCUAUGCUUCUGACUUCGUCAUCUCAAUCGUUUCUCUCCAAGUCAGCCAAUAGAGGGUUUCAUUCCAAUGGAGUGAAGAGGAUGGGGGGAGGCCAUGCGCAUGGCCAUGAUGAACCAUAUUACCUUCAUACUAACGUUUGGGAAUAAGAUGUCUUUGCAGGCUGCCGAUGUUCCAAACUUGGAUGCGAUAGCAUCAGCGAGAGUUAAUGGCCUCUGGACCCUAUGGCAGUAGGUUUGGGUUGUGGGAGUGACACGGCACAUCUUUCGCGGCUAUGACCCGAGAGUAUAUUACCGAGGGCGAGGUGCAUUUAAGUCCAUGGGGGCUGGGUUGGCAAUGUCACCUGGAGAUAUUGCAUUCAAGAUAUGAUCUAGCUUCUGACUUUAUCACUUACAUGACGGGGACGAUCAUCUUAAAGAUGAUACUUAUUCUUUUUUCCAACAAGUUAAUAUGCCAUCGUUCCGAAUAUUUUCUUCAGAACACCUUGAUGAUUUUGUUUUUGUACAUGAUUACCCAUUCCAAUAAUCUCUUUCCAGUCAAAUUUUGCUACCUCAGAUGAGAAAACUGGCAUAAUUACAAGUAGGAAAGCUGACAGGCAUUUUGAAAAAGACGGGCCUAUACUUUGUGCUGCCCUGGAUAGAAUGAAGCUCCAUUCUUUUCUUGAGUGUGAAGUAAAGAGUUAAGUAGAGAUGUUUUUAAUUGCUGUAAUUGUCAAUUUAUGAAGUUAUAUUCUUCCACUUUGGUUCUGCAGGAUAAAAAAAAGUUUAGCUUACUCAACUAGGUUUUAUUUUCACAUAGCCAUUUUGGUUAUGGACUUUACUUUGAUUGACAGUUUUGAACCUUGAAAUGUCUUAGGCACAAAUGCUUAUAGUUGUUGGCUAGAUGGUCAUGAGAAGGUUUUGUUCUUUGUGAACUCUGUUAAGAAUUGAUUGGAAGCUUUAAGCCCUAUUGUUCAAUAUGUAAUACUAAGCCAUGUACUCAAUCACUUACAGGCAUGCAACAGAACACCAAUGUGGAAUUGUUGUUAAAGGACCAAGACUAAGUGGAAAUAUAUCAGGAACCGACCCAUUGAAGGACAACCGCUUACUUCUGGAAGCCAAGCCUUUAGAUGAUACUGAUGAAGCAAGACACACAGCUGUAGUUGUUAAUAAGUUAUCUAGGGAGAUAUUGAAGAUUUUGGUUUCUCACCCUUUGAGUGCAAAAAGGUUAGCAGAAGGGAAGAACAUCUAACAUUGUCCUUUUAAGAUGUGGUAUCCGAAUUGAGGUGUGUUGUCCUAAAACUUCCCAAAUAUAUAUUCAUUUUACUUCUUUGAAUGUGGAGAAAAAAAUAUCUACAUUUUUCAUUUUGCUACUUGAUGCUAUGUUACUCACACUUGGGGAUGAGUGUUGUUCUAUAUAUUUUUUUAUUUUUAUAAUCACUGAUUCUAAAACUCUUAAUUGAAAAACAACAAACCUUAAUCCUUGCACGGUCUAUAUUUAUUUUACUUC